AGAGUGAACGCUGGCGGCAGGCCUAACACAUGCAAGUCGAACGGCAGCACAGGGGAGCUUGCUCCCUGGGUGGCGAGUGGCGGACGGGUGAGGAAUACAUCGGAAUCUACCCAGUCGUGGGGGGAUAACCUCGGGAAACCGGGACUAAUACCGCAUACGACCCACGGGUGAAGCGGAGGACCGCAAGGCUUCGCGCGAUUGGAUGAGCCGAUGUCGGAUUAGCUUGUUGGCGGGGUAAUGGCCCACCAAGGCGACGAUCCGUAGUUGUCUGAGAGGAUGAUCAGCCACACUGGAACUGAGACACGGCCAGACUCCUACGGGAGGCAGCAGUGGGGAAUAUUGGACAAUGGGCGACAAGGCCCUGAUCAGCACUGCCGCGUGAGUAGAAGAAGGCCCUCGGUUGAAAGUCUCUUUUGUAGGGUAAGAAAAGACAAUACGGUUAAGUAACCCGGUUGUUACGUCGACGUAACCCAAAG
Molecule: ribosomal RNA, 476 nt
Filed under: uncultured soil bacterium
Lineage: Bacteria
Description: bacterial SSU rRNA
Rfam family: Bacterial small subunit ribosomal RNA
Source: RNAcentral